Molecule: ribosomal RNA, 253 nt
Filed under: uncultured bacterium
Lineage: Bacteria
Description: partial 16S ribosomal RNA
Rfam family: Bacterial small subunit ribosomal RNA
Source: RNAcentral
UACAGAGGUGGCAAGCGUUGUUCGGAAUUACUGGGCGUAAAGCGCGCGUAGGCGGCUUUGUAAGUUAGAGGUGAAAGCCCGGGGCUCAACCCCGGAAUUGCCUUUAAGACUGCAUCGCUUGAAUCCGGGAGAGGUGAGUGGAAUUCCGAGUGUAGAGGUGAAAUUCGUAGAUAUUCGGAAGAACACCAGUGGCGAAGGCGGCUCACUGGACCGGCAUUGACGCUGAGGUGCGAAAGCGUGGGGAGCAAACAGG